CCUACGGGUGGCAGCAGUGGGGGAUAUUGCACAAUGGGGGAAACCCUGAUGCAGCGACGCCGCGUGUGGGAAGACGGUCCUCUGGAUUGUAAACCACUGUCCCCAGGGACGAAGAUGACGGUACCUGGGGAGGACGAUCCGGCUAACUAUGUGCCAGCAGCCGCGGUAAUACGUAGGGAGCGAGCGUUGUUCGGAAUUACUGGGUGUACAGUGUGCGUAGGCGGGGAUGCAAGUUGGGUGUCAAAACUACCGGCUCAACUGGUAGUCGCACUCGAAACUGCAGCCCUUGAGUGAAGUAGAGGCAGGCGGAAUUCCUAGUGUAGCGGUGAAAUGCGUAGAUAUUAGGAGGAACACCAGUGGCGAAGGCGGCCUGCUGGGCUUUUACUGACGCUGAGGCUCGAAAGUGUGGGGAGCAAACAGGAUUAGAUACCCUUGUAGUC
Molecule: ribosomal RNA, 440 nt
Filed under: uncultured bacterium
Lineage: Bacteria
Description: partial 16S ribosomal RNA
Rfam family: Bacterial small subunit ribosomal RNA
Source: RNAcentral